GCCCUGAGAUUCCAUUUCCUGGGGGCCAUGGCCUGCCUGAUCCGGUAGGCUCCCCACUCACAGAUAGGCUGCAGCAGAGAGGUAGAGCCACUGCCUGCUUGGGGAACCUUUCACAAUUACAAAUAUCUCCAACAGGCCAUCGAAGGAAGGGAGCCAUUGGAAGGCCAGAUUUCCUUAUUUCUCACAGCCCAACACACAGACUGGCAGGGAAAGAGAGCCUUCUCCAGCACGAAGAUACUCUUCAGGAUAUGCAAUGUACACAACCUGGAGAUGUGCUAAGCCCAAACCCUAGUGACAAAGAUGAACCAACACUGUCUUAUUGCUACUUUUAGUGUGGAGCAAUGACUCUCAGCACUGGGAACCUUAUACCCAGGGAGGACUGCGUUAACCUGGGUUCUAAUCCCAGCUUACCUUGGAUGCCAGCGAUGGGUAGCAGGAGUGGAGGAAAAACAGCUUGUGGGCUCGUAGGAGGGACUGGCUCGGACAAGUCGAGCACUGCUGGCAGCAGCCGGGCCCCCUUGCAGCAGAAACCUGGGAGGAGAAACAGAACCAGGAGGAAAGUAAAUCAGCUCAUCAUGGAAGAUGCGAAAUGAUUUUUCCAGUGGGCAAGUUGGGGAACAAAGAAUGGGGGGUUAGAAGCCUCAAGAGAAGGCAGGAAUUGUGACAUCAUUGCCUGGGCUCUCCCCCACCCAGAGUGACAACUCCUAACAGGGUGCCCCAAGGCUGGGGAGGAGCAGGUAUACGGCAGCAGGCUGUCAGCACCAACAGCCAACAUCAGUAGGAAUGACAAACACUGACUACACCGAGCUUGACAGCCACCCAAAGCUUCUGAGAAGCAAGGGAGCAGAGCUAUCACCAUGGCAGAGACGAGGAGCCAUUGCCCCAGAGAUGGAAAGUGACUCUCCCAGAGGCACCCGGCAAGGGGUAGAGCCAGGAUUAAGACUCAAGGACCUAAUCCGUAAAAUGACCUGACCAUCUCCCCAGGACUGGGAGAAGAGAGGCUGGCAAAAAGAAAGGGCCCACAUCCUCCUCCUGGCCCACCCAGGGACAGGACUAUGCAUCUGGGAAAAGAUUCUCCUGUAUCCUUUCAUUGCUAGCAGGGAGAGUGGGAAGGUGCUCAGAGACCCCACAGGGCACUCCCUCAGGACAGUUUGACCUGCCCUAGUUCUGUAAAUUAUAAUUCUAAUCAUAUAGAGAGU
RNAcentral lists this long non-coding RNA (1199 nucleotides) under Ornithorhynchus anatinus (platypus). RNAcentral's name for it is "lncRNA (ENSOANG00000043046.1)". Lineage: Eukaryota; Metazoa; Chordata; Mammalia; Monotremata; Ornithorhynchidae. The record is from RNAcentral.